GACGUAGGGCGCGAGCGUUGUCCGGAUUUAUUGGGCGUAAAGAGCUCGUAGGCGGCUUGUCGCGUCGUCCGUGAAAACUUGGGGCUCAACCCCAAGCUUGCGGUCGAUACGGGCAGGCUCGAGUUCGGUAGGGGAGACUGGAAUUCCUGGUGUAGCGGUGAAAUGCGCAGAUAUCAGGAGGAACACCGGUGGCGAAGGCGGCAUCCUGGACCGAGAUUGACGCUGAGGCGCGAAAGCCAGGGGAGCAAACGGG
Molecule: ribosomal RNA, 253 nt
Filed under: uncultured bacterium
Lineage: Bacteria
Description: partial 16S ribosomal RNA
Rfam family: Bacterial small subunit ribosomal RNA
Source: RNAcentral